This 315-nucleotide ribosomal RNA is filed under the name Triticum aestivum (bread wheat). RNAcentral's name for it is "partial small subunit ribosomal RNA". The record is from RNAcentral. Lineage: Eukaryota; Viridiplantae; Streptophyta; Magnoliopsida; Poales; Poaceae.
AUGAGUUGGCCAAAGACGAAGAGAGCUUUGCGGCGAGAGUUCGUGCCUCCAACCUACAUGGAACAACUUCUACGCCAAUUGGAGAACACCAUCCAAGGAUCCAAGUCCAUCGACGAGUACUUCAAGGAGAUGAAGAUUGCCUUGCGACGAGCCGGCGUGGACGACCCCAUUUCGAUGAAGUUCCACUUCAUGAUGGGAUUGCACAACGACAUCUCCAAGACGAUCUUCCUCGAGAACUACAAGUCCCUCGACGACAACUACAUUGGUGCUCUCAAGGCGGAACAAGAACUCACAAAUGGUGACGAGCAAGGAUGA